This 198-nucleotide ribosomal RNA is filed under the name uncultured bacterium. RNAcentral describes it as "partial 16S ribosomal RNA". It matches the Rfam family "Bacterial small subunit ribosomal RNA", at positions 328 to 539 of the family's 1533-position model. The record is from RNAcentral.
ACGCUCGACACCUACGGGAGGCAGCAGUGAGGGAUAUUGGUCAAUGGGGGAAACCCUGAACCAGCAACGCCGCGUGAGGGAUGACGGUCUUCGGAUUGUAAACCUCUGUCCUCUGUGAAGAUAAUGACGGUAGCAGAGGAGGAAGCUCCGGCUAACUACGUGGCAGCAGCCGCGGUAAUCUGAGCGGGCUGGCAAGGC